AUGGAAACAGGAAUACAAAGGCAACAUGGGACUGUAGAAGCUCAGCCACGAGGGAAAGCAAGCCUUUGGAAAAUCAGCUAUGCUGUGAAGACUUUCUCCCUGAGCCUUGCCUUCUUAUCUGGAAUGUUUCAGCCUUGGGAAAAUUGCUCAAAAAGAGCUCUGCUUUCUCUCCCCAGGACUGAUGGUGUACAGAUUGGAUCAUGUAUGGAAUGGAUUCUUAUUUUCCAUAUGCAGAAGCCUAUAUUUUUAAGUAAUUUGCGAGCCGGAUUCCUCAGGAGACGACCAGGUUGCUGGCUUAGUAGAAAAACCCCCCUGAAUUCAGGACCUGAAUUCAGUAAGACCAGAUUCUAG
RNAcentral lists this long non-coding RNA (351 nucleotides) under Sus scrofa (pig). RNAcentral's name for it is "lncRNA (ENSSSCG00070017464.1)". The record is from RNAcentral. Lineage: Eukaryota; Metazoa; Chordata; Mammalia; Artiodactyla; Suidae.